GGCGUGGCCAGCGGCUGUUGUUACUGCGGCUUCAUCCAAAGAGAAAAGAGACACUGAGCGAAACAGGGCGACACUCUCCUCACAAUAGUUGUGUUUUUGGUCAGUAAGCGGAUAUUUUGUGACAGCACGCAGCCGAGCCGAUGUUGGCCAUUGUUCUAAACAGGACGGUAUGUGAGCUGAGAGAGGAUGAGCUGAGUCCUGAUGAUCCAGAGGUUGAAUCAGCAGCAGCUUGUGUGUAGAGAGACUCUGACUGGACCAUGUUACUGGGAGGUGGAGUCAAGAGGAGAGCUUCAUCCACAUGUUUCUCCAUGUCAGACCAGUGGUGUAGUCUAUGUGAUACGCAGCGUUCACUUUUGGACCAUGGGGGCUUCCGUCAAGCGUGACGUGGACCCGACGUUAACUACUAAGGAAGCAGUGAAGUUGUGCGGCGGGAACGAGUCGACAACUUGAACUGGUCCAACGCUCGUCAGUGGAGAAGGAAUGUGGAGAAAAAACAAUGAGAAGAAAGAAAAGGAAGCCCAGUAACACUAUUUGAGAUGGUAGGGAAGGAGAGCUGAUGGCGCUGUCGUCCUACCUGGUAAGUGGAACUCAUGUAUGUUAGAAUAAUAGUCACCACUAUUGGAACAGCAGCUGAUUGGCUCAUUGAAUUCUACCUAAAACUAGUCACUGGUGGUUUGGUUGAAAUCAAGGAGCUGCUGCUGCUGCUGCUCUGUGUGUGUGUUUGUGUAGAUGAGAACUGGACCUGGCCAGCCUUGUGGAGUGAGAGUCAGGAGAGGGAAUUUAAAAACAGGCCUCCUUGGUUAGAGCGGAGAAACGGAAAGUUAGGGAAACAUUAGACGACAUUUAAAGCUGCUAGAAACAGUUUAAAUGUACAAAGUUAACGCUGUGUUCACAUGUUAAUGUAGUUCAUUCAGAAAGUUGUUAAUAAAAAUGAAAUGAAUUCAUUGUCGUCUUAUUAAUUAAGGCCCCAUGUUCACCAUUAAAUGACUGAUGUGUUGGAUAUAGUUGAGUUUUUCCUCCUUUUGUCUAGUUUUCAGGCCUUUUCUUCUCCAUGGCUGAAGAUUGUAAACAGUUCAUUAAUAGUUGUGUCUCUGUUCAGCAGGUCUUAAUGCUAAUAUAGAUACAAAAAGGACAAUAAUGGAUCAUAAUGUUCAUUACUGAUGUUGUUGUUUACCUCCAGGUUGUGUAUCUGCACUGCAACAAAUCCACUGGCGUCCUCACAGAGGAAAGGGCGUCUACAUCUGAGGAGUGGGUGUCCUUUAAAAUCCAGUCCUCAGACACAAACCACAAACAGCUCUAGGUCCUUUUUCUUUAUUUCAAACUUAUUUGUCUUGUCACUGUCUGUUCAGUGGUUAAUUAAAGUCCAGCUGUUCAUGUCUGUUAUA
This is a long non-coding RNA of Mugil cephalus (flathead mullet), 1385 nucleotides long. RefSeq lists it as uncharacterized. The record is from RefSeq and is a predicted model, not a curated record. The transcript has 3 exons. NCBI's taxonomy places the organism in Eukaryota, Metazoa, Chordata, Actinopteri, Mugiliformes, Mugilidae.